This 85-nucleotide transfer RNA is filed under the name Rickettsiales bacterium. Its description in RNAcentral is "tRNA-Leu". It matches the Rfam family "tRNA". From Rfam's summary of the family: Transfer RNA (tRNA) molecules are approximately 80 nucleotides in length. The record is from RNAcentral. Lineage: Bacteria; Pseudomonadati; Pseudomonadota; Alphaproteobacteria; Rickettsiales.
GCCCCUAUGGCGGAAUUGGUAGACGCGAUAGAAUCAGAGUCUAUUGUCGCAAGAUGUGUCGGUUCGAGUCCGACUAGGGGCACCA